RNAcentral lists this ribosomal RNA (301 nucleotides) under uncultured bacterium. RNAcentral describes it as "partial 16S ribosomal RNA". It matches the Rfam family "Bacterial small subunit ribosomal RNA", at positions 509 to 809 of the family's 1533-position model. The record is from RNAcentral.
CAGCAGCCACGGGAAUACGGAGGGUGCAAGCGUUAAUCGGAAUUACUGGGCGUAAAGCGUGCGUAGGCGGUUCGUUAAGUCUGUUGUGAAAGCCCCGGGCUCAACCUGGGAAUGGCAAUGGAUACUGGCGAGCUAGAGUGUGUCAGAGGAUGGUGGAAUUCCCGGUGUAGCGGUGAAAUGCGUAGAGAUCGGGAGGAACAUCAGUGGCGAAGGCGGCCAUCUGGGCCAAUACUGACGCUCAUGCACGAAAGCGUGGGGAGCAAAUAGGAUUAGAUACCCCGGUAGUCCCUGUCUCUUAUAA